Anaerolineae bacterium CG2_30_64_16 is the source of this 100-nucleotide non-coding RNA. The record is from Rfam. Lineage: Bacteria; Bacillati; Chloroflexota; Anaerolineae.
AUGAGCGACGCCAAACUGCCGGAUGCGCAGGCGGGCUACGAGAAGAUGGCCACGUUCUUGCUGGCAGCUUUGGGGGGCGGCAACUACAUCCACCACGCCA